UAGCCACGAAAUGGAAGAAGAUCUGAUGAGUAUGUGUAAAAUGAUAAAGAAUUGAAAAACCAGCAGCACCAGACCCCAUCCCGCAGGUGUGCUGAUCCAGAGCCAGUCAACCUUGAAACGUCACGUCACUCGUUCCAGGAAACACCCCUCUAUUGAAUUUUGAUGUUGAAUGUACAGACAGAAUCCAAAUCAAAGCCUUUUAUCUGUUCAAACAUUUCUGUUUGUGUAACUGUGCCGUGUCUUUUGAAUUAAAAGCAUUCUAAAAUA
Molecule: long non-coding RNA, 267 nt
Organism: Cyprinus carpio (common carp)
Lineage: Eukaryota; Metazoa; Chordata; Actinopteri; Cypriniformes; Cyprinidae
Exons: 2
Source: RefSeq, a predicted model, not a curated record